Molecule: non-coding RNA, 166 nt
Filed under: bovine gut metagenome
Source: RNAcentral
CAUGGUUUCCGACCCCGUGAGGGCGGACCAAGAGGGAACCGCGUGAGAAUCGCGGGCUGUCGCGCAACUGUGAGACCCGAUUGUCGUCGGCAACGGUAAGCCAUUGGGGCCCAAGGCUCUGAGAAGGCAUGCCGACGGAGGGAAAGCCAGGAGACCUGCCAUGUGC